CCCAGGUCAGUAGAAGAUGGAGAAGAAAGCCUUGUGUCUCAUUGCCACAAUUUCCACGAAAUGAUCGGAAAUCUGGGACUGAAAUUGGCAUCGAUGUGUUAUGGAAUGCAUUUGCCAGAAAACAAGGUGAGAGGUUUGCUCCAGCUGUGAACGCGUCUUCCGUCUUCAACAAUUGACUCAACCGUGUCAGUGACUCCUCACACGAGGAGAUUGAAUACGUUCUCCAUCAACGACGUCAGACUCGUGUUCCACAGCGGCUGCAUCCAUGUCAAGAUUACAUGUCGCAUAUCAUAGUUCGUCUGGUAUUAAAUUUGCAGGGUUGAAAGUUAAUAUGAAGUGUAAUGUUUGCUUUGUGUUGUAGUUAUUUUCAAACUAUUACAAAGUAGUGUUCAGGAAGAGUACUUUGCUACACGUACAUGUAGUAGUGGUUUAUUUCCGUGUAGGUGUGGCAAUAUAAACAACAAUGCACAUGUAGGACGACCGGUUUUCUUUUUGAUGGUAACAUAUUUGUGAGGACAAAUCUGCAAUUUGGCGCUUCUCCGUGAACAAUUAUUUAUUUAGAAUUGAAUUCUAGUAUUUAUUUUGGUGAUGUUUACUUUUGGAAAGAAAGAAGACAUUCCAACCGUGUUAAAUGCAUUUUUAGAAGUCUUUGGAAGUUAUUGUUAUAUUGUCAAGUCGUCAAGUUAUAUUGUCAAGUACGCGCCAUAUUUGAUCCACGGACUAGAUAGACGGUGGUUCAACUGGUUGUGAACUCGGUCUAAUGCUUUAGAAAGCGCCUGGAAGUUGUAGUGUGUGUUCAGUUGUUCUUCGGAAGAAAAAAA
Molecule: long non-coding RNA, 821 nt
Filed under: Lingula anatina
Lineage: Eukaryota; Metazoa; Brachiopoda; Lingulata; Lingulida; Lingulidae
Description: uncharacterized LOC106170665
Source: RNAcentral